Molecule: transfer RNA, 77 nt
Filed under: Planctomycetaceae bacterium
Lineage: Bacteria; Pseudomonadati; Planctomycetota; Planctomycetia; Planctomycetales; Planctomycetaceae
Also listed under: 1 other name
Description: tRNA-Val
Rfam family: tRNA
About the family: Transfer RNA (tRNA) molecules are approximately 80 nucleotides in length.
Source: RNAcentral
GGACCCAUAGCUCAGUUGGCUAGAGCACUACCUUGACAUGGUAGGGGUCACAGGUUCGAGUCCUGUUGGGUCCACCA